This is a non-coding RNA of Musa acuminata subsp. malaccensis (wild Malaysian banana), 3880 nucleotides long. NCBI's taxonomy places the organism in Eukaryota, Viridiplantae, Streptophyta, Magnoliopsida, Zingiberales, Musaceae. The record is from RefSeq and is a predicted model, not a curated record.
ACAACCGGACCGGGUCGAAAGGCAAAUGGGGUUUCUUUCUCCCGUCUCUGACCCCGUUCGUUCUACAGCUCGAGCCCCCUUGAAGCACCUCUGGAUACUCUCUCUCUCUCUCUAUCUGUCAUAACACAGCGAAUCGGUAGGCAAUUGUUGUCACCGCGCGAAUUCUUCGACCUUUCGUCGGAUUCUUGCCCAGAAGCACUCUACGAUUUUUUUCUGGUUUCCUUUUCGUUCUGAGUAUAUCUUGAUCAAAAUCCUUACUUUUCGUGUCUUCUGUUCCCCACAGGGAACCAACUUGUCUGCCAUAACAGAGCUCAACCACCAGAGCGUGGGCAGCGUGCGUGUUUGUCUCCUCUCUCUAAUUCGUUUUCUUUUGUUUAGCAUCUUUGUAUGUUUAUGGUUCAGUGAUGCCCUUAUCUGGAACUAAAAAGUAUCCGAAAAAUGAAGUUUCUUUGACGUAUUUCUUUGGAAUCGGUUGAUUGCAUGACACGGUCGAUAGUAUGUCUAUGCUACUUUUAAUUGAUGGUGGCGGCAAUGGGAUCGAAGACAACCUGUGGAGACUAUAAAGUUGGGAUUUUUAUGUUGGCUGAUAAUGUGAUAUGCGGAAUCGUCAUUUUCAGUUGUUCUUUUGUUGGAGGAGUGAGGGAUUGAGAUGUCAGUGAUUGUUUGUUCUAAAGCAUUAUCUGUUGGAAAAUAAUUCUACUAAGAAAUCCAGUGUCAUCUGUAUUGGUGUAGAUAGUGUUGUAUAAGGCAUAAGAUGAAUGGUUGAUAAGGAUUGAAUCUAAUAUUGACUUAUUAGAUCCGAGAGAUAAAUAUGUUGGAACUUGGAAUUCUUCCCAGUUUUAGAAGAUUCAUAGUCUGUCCUUGAUCUGCUUGCAAUGGAUAAAAGUCCUGACUGUAAUGAACUCAUAACCAUAAUGAAGGCUUCAAAGGUUCUCACAAGUUUGGUGUACUUGAUCAUAGUUCUGACUUUUUUUCUCACUGAUUCAAUUCAGAUAUUACAUAAUACACAUAGAUCUCUUGACUGCACACAAAACACCUUAAACACUAGGAUAUCUCCUCAGACGUGUAUGCUUGUGUGUGUCUAUGUUUUGCUUUUGAAGCUCUUGAGGUUUCCAAUAUAUCUAUUUCACAAGUAAUGCCUUUCUAGGUGUGCAUACUGUAUUAUUUUUAUUUUCCUCCAUCUCAUUCUUCUUAGCUAUAUGAAUUAAAAAUCUCUUCUUGAUAUCCGUGUUUUAGAAGUUGGAUGCCCGUAUAUAUUGGUUAAGACAAAAGCAAAUACUGCAUGUAGCACUUAUAGGUGAAGUUGUAUGACUAUCUGAUUACAGUUGCUACUUGCAUUUGAAACUGAGCUAGAGAAGCUGAUGGCGGGUGCUUGGAAAGGAAGAAGAGGUAUAAGAAGGGGUAGGAUGUACCUGAACACAAUUUUAACUUGCAAACUACUAUGCAAGUAUGACAUACACCAUUUUAUAUCACAAAUUUGCUUGUAACAUAAAAGAGUUUAGUUGCACAUAUACAUGCCACAAGUGACUUGCAUGCAAUCAAAUAUGAAAUGUGGUACUUGCUGCAAAAAUAUUUCUUACUCAUGGGCAAUCCAAUGCCCUGUGCAUCAAGGUGAUAUUCCAGCUUUUGGUAGAUUCUCAAAACAUUUUGUGCCAAGAGGACAUUGGUUCAAAUGCUUUGACCCUUUAUAAAUGCAGCUUGAGCUCCAUUUACUGACUGCUUCCAUGUUCUUUUGCAGAUUGUUUGUGAUGAUCCCUAUGGUACAUUUAUAGCGAACAAGCGAUGGGCAUAUAAUCUGCAAAAGUUACUGGGAUGUGGUAGAUAUAGAAGAGAUCUUAAUGGAAGUCUGGUAUAGCUUCAGUUAAUAUAGCUUUAGUGAAGCCCUCAAUAACAGGUCAAGCUAAACCCUGCAGAAGCCAUCUGGGAUUGGGGCUGUCCCGUUUGAUUGCAAAUAAGACCUCUUUAGCUUAAAGGGGAAUAACAUCUGUACCAAGCUAAUGUCUUACCUCUUCGUAAAUGACAGAAUCAGCUUGAGCCCUUGGAAGAAACCUGAAUGCCAAGCAAAUUUUGGUAGAAAGAGAUACACUCUACGGCUACAUUUGCCUCAUCGAUUAGUUUGACUCCUCAAGAGUGAACAUGAAAGUAUUAUAGUGUCUCUUAAUGCCUUAAUAGAGAGAAGAGUGUAUUCGUGUUAAGCAUUUUUUGUCCCAUUGAUUACAACUCAAUAUUGUCAGGUAUUAUGCCGUUUCUACUAUAGUGGAACCAUCUCUGUUUUUUCCCUGUUUGACCUGUUAAAUAUAUUUGACUACUUGUUAGUGCCAAGUGUUUUGAAGCUAUGAUUCAGCUUCCUAAGCUUUUGGGUUAUCUAAAACAGUUUGGUGUCCUGUGUAUCCUCACCAUUCCAAUAAUCUAAAAAUUUUGGAAGAAAUUUAGUUUCAGAAUCACAUGAAUAAAAAUCCAUGAUCGAUUGACUAAUUUAUACCCUGCUUCCUAUAAUUCAGAUCAGUAGCAGACUGUUUAUUUGACCAUGUAUGCUUUCAGCUCUUGUACUCUAAACAAACCUUUAAACCGUUGAUAGAAGUGUCAUUUCCUGAUCCAAGUUCAUCAGCCUGAGAACUCAGUUGUAAUCCCCAUUAUGAUCACAGGAAUAUUGCAUAAUAGUGAUAAAGUCAGCCAUACUGGUUCUCUUGGAUUUGGUGUGAGCCCCAUGGGCAACAAUCACAACAUAUAACUAGGAGCUGAAUGCUUAAAACUUGGAAUUGGAUCUACAUAUGGUGAUCUUGUUAAACUAAUCAAGAUCUGAAUGGCAUCUAUCUCUCAGUUGUUGGUAGGUAAAUACAUAAUGUUUGAGAGUUGAACUUCUUGAAGAGAACUUGCAUCCAUAGCUGCAAAGAGUAUCUGCAAGCCUUAAACAUGACAAGUCUCUAUCCAUACAAAACUUGAUGAUAGUAUUGUUUUAGCAAUGAAAGCCAUGGAUGAGGAUCAUGUAUGAAAUUUCUAUUUAUUUCCAUCCAGUAAAGUACUGCUACAUAACAAGUAUAUGGAUGGGCAACUUGGUCUUCUCUGAUGAUUCACACAGUGAUGGAGGUUGCAGCUUGUGAUGGACCACCUGGAGCUGAAGGCACGAAAGACCAAAGAAGAGCAUCUCUUUCCAUGGGACAAAGGGGACAAGGCAUGAAAAGAACCACUGACCUGGGGUUGAUGGAUGGAGGAAGACAAGUGGCACAACAGAGCCUCUACAUAAUCUUGUCAUUCUCAGAUCAUGAUCUCUUCUUCUUGGAAAGGAAGCCUCCUCCUUGUUGGUCACAGGGACCACGAGACGACGACGACACUACUACGGAAUGGAAGGCAACAGGCAGGUUUGAUGUGAUCAAAUCACAAAAUGGUCCUUUGGCAUUCUCAGCCAGAUUUGCCCAUUGAUGUGGUAUUGGCAUAUUAUGUGUACUGAAACAAGGUGGAGAAUAAAAAAUGUUGAUCUUACAUAUAAUUAUUUUUUUUUUUGAAAUAUAACUAGUUUAAUUGUGUAUGUGGGUGUGGUUUUCAAAGAAAUCUUCCAUUGAUUUCUUAUGCCACCAUAAAUCCAACUAAUUGCAACUAGGUGACACAAUAUCUAGAGAAUGAUAUCUAGGCCAGCACAAUAAUUACUUGAAAAUAUUUUAUGGUGGUUAGCCAGAGCUUAGAUAAACACCAAGAUCAGGUCAUUCCUGACAUGAUCAACUAUGUUUAGAACAGGGUGACAGUUUGAGACCAUGGCAUCUGUUCAUAUCCACAGAAAAAAUUCUUAGGUAAGGGAACCUUUCAUUUCAAGAAGAUGUUGUAGCACUCAGUGUGUGGAGACUGAUAGUAUUCUAAUUGUUGUACAAGACUGUCAAAGAAUGUU